This 508-nucleotide ribosomal RNA is filed under the name uncultured bacterium. RNAcentral's name for it is "partial 16S ribosomal RNA". It matches the Rfam family "Bacterial small subunit ribosomal RNA", at positions 28 to 523 of the family's 1533-position model. The record is from RNAcentral.
GAUGAACGCUAGCUACAGGCUUAACACAUGCAAGUCGAGGGGAAACGAUAGAGAAAGCUUGCUUUUUCUAGGCGUCGACCGGCGCACGGGUAAGUAACGCGUAUCCAACCUGCCCAUCACUUGGGGAGAACCUUGCGAAAGUAAGACUAAUACCCAAUGACGUCUCUAGAAGACAUCUGAAAGAGAGUAAAGAUUUAUCGGUGAUGGAUGGGGAUGCGUCUGAUUAGCUUGUUGGCGGGGUAACGGCCCACCAAGGCGACGAUCAGUAGGGGUUCUGAGAGGAAGGUCCCCCACAUUGGAACUGAGACACGGUCCAAACUCCUACGGGAGGCUGCAGUGAGGAAUAUUGGUCAAUGGACGAGAGUCUGAACCAGCCAAGUAGCGUGCAGGAUGACGGCCCUAUGGGUUGUAAACUGCUUUUAUAAGGGAAUAAAGUGGGAGUCGUGACUCCUUUUGCAUGUACCUUAUGAAUAAGGACCGGCUAAUUCCGUGCCAGCAGCCGCCGUAA